Panicum hallii is the source of this 2090-nucleotide RNA transcript. It is a transcript of the gene named diacylglycerol kinase 4-like, with no coding region annotated. The record is from RefSeq and is a predicted model, not a curated record. NCBI's taxonomy places the organism in Eukaryota, Viridiplantae, Streptophyta, Magnoliopsida, Poales, Poaceae. The transcript is spliced from 2 exons.
CCGCCCACUUGCCCUUCCCUCCCUCCCUCCCUCCCUCUCUCUCUCUCUCUCCAUAUUUGUAAGGCCGUUCGUGUCGCGUGCCGUUGCCUGUGACGUCAUGAGAUGGUCGGUGUCGCGGGCUACGUGGAGCUGCUGUCCCGCUGCGGCGAGGCGCGGGCGAUCGCGCGGAUCCAGGCGGCGCUGGUCACGUCGGGGCGGCUCCGGCGGAGCGCGGAGCUCCACGACGCGCUCAUCCGGGCGCUCUCCCGCUCCGCGCGCCCGCACCUCGCGCGCCCGCUCUACGCGCACCUCCUCCGCGCGGGCCUCCUCCCCACCCCGCACACCCUCCCCUCCCUCCUCAAGUCGAUCGCGCUGUCCCCGGCGGCCCCGGGCGCAGCGGUGCUGGCGCUCGCCGUGCACGCCCACGCCGUCAAGCUCGGACUGGAGCGGUUCCUCCUCGUGAGCAACGCGCUCAUCCGCGUGCACGCCGGCCUCCUCGGCCGGCUCGACGAUGGGCUUCUGCUUCUGCGGACAGCUGCUGCCGUGGACGCCGCCUCGUUCAACACCCUCAUUACGGCCUACGCGAGGGCGGGUCGGGUGGCGGACGCCCGGAAGCUGUUCGACGAAAUGCCUGCCAGGAAUGCUGUGUCUUGGAGCGCUAUGGUUAAUGGGUAUGUGCAGGCUGGGGAUGGGAUGGAGGCUCUGGAGAUGUUUGCACGGAUGCAAGCUGAAGGUGUUUGCCCGGAUGACACGGUGCUUGUUGGGGUGCUAGCAGCAUGUGCGCAGCACGGGGCGCUGGAGCAGGGUAAGUGGGUGCAUGGUUACCUGAAGGCUAACGGCACUAGGAUCACUCUGUUUUUGGGCACUGCUUUGGUUGAUAUGUAUGCCAAAUGUGGUGAGGUGCAGCUUGCAAUGGACGUAUUUGAGACAAUGAAGGACAAGAAUGUGCUGGCUUGGACUACUAUGAUAAAAGGCCUGGCAAUCCAUGGUCGAGGAUCAGAGGCAUUAGCGCUCUUCUUGCAGAUGGAGAGCUCAGGUGUCAGGCCGGAUGAUAUUGCUUUCAUUGGCGCAUUGUGUGCGUGCACACAUGCGGGUUUGGUUGACAAGGGUCGGGAGCUUUUUGAUUCCAUGGUGAUGAAAUAUGGCAUUAAACCAAAGAUUGAGCACUACGGAUGCAUGGUAGAUCUUCUGGCACGAAACGGCUUGCUUGACGAGGCAAAAGAGAUGAUUCAGAAAAUGCCCAUGAAACCAGAUGCCCUGAUUUGGGGAGCUCUCAUGGCUGGUUGUAGAUUUCACAAGAAUGUGGAGUUGGCUGAGUAUGUUGUCAAGCAUUGGAUUUUGUUGGAACCUGACAAAAGUGGUGCCUAUGUACUUUUAGCUAACAUUUAUGCUGCUUCAGGUAGGCAUAAUUCUGCGAGGAAAAUUAGGCACCUAAUGCGUGAAAAGGGAGUUGACAAGACACCUGGUUGUAGCACUGUGGAGAUUAAAGGAAUUAUUCACCAAUUCAUUGUUGGAGAUCUGUCUCAUCCACACAUAAAAGAUAUUUUGACAAAGUGGCAUGAGAUUGAUAGUAGAAUUAGGUUAGAGGAGGGUUACAUCCCAGAUAAGAAGGAAGUGUUGGUUGACAUUGAAGAAGAGGAGAAGGAGGAUGCUCUCCGCCGGCACAGUGAGAAGCUGGCAAUUGCUUUUGCUUUGAUUAGUACUAGUGACAACAUGCCUAUUCGGAUAGUCAAGAACCUCAGAGUUUGCCAUGAUUGUCAUCAUGUCACCAAACUAAUAUCCAAAGUAUAUGGGAGAGAAAUUAUUGUUAGAGAUCGAACACGCUUCCAUUUGUUCAAAGAUGGCAGUUGUUCUUGCAAGGACUAUUGGUAACAGAUAAUAAAGUUUGCGCAGAUAUUGGUACCUGAUUCAUGAGUAUUAGUUAGUCAAAAAACUUUUGUUCGUCAAGAUUCUGAGUAUCAGGGAUUCCCAAGUGGAGGGAAUGAGGUUUUUGAUCUUACUAUUGUGAAGCCUUCUGACUUUGUGGAAUAUGCUCUGGCUUGUUUGGAACAACUUGCUGAGUCUGGGGAUCAUAGCGCAAGGUUCGUUCGCGAUAAUUUGCGAGUCAUGGU